UCCCUAUGGGGCGCACCAGGCGCGAAAACUUUACAAUGCGGGCAACCGUGAUAAGGGAACCUCGAGUGCCUGUAUAUGCAGGCUGUCCAGGUGUCUAAAACACACCUGAAGAAAGGGCCGGGCAAGACCGGUGCCAGCCGCCGCGGUAAUACA
Molecule: ribosomal RNA, 153 nt
Filed under: uncultured Methanoculleus sp.
Lineage: Archaea; Methanobacteriati; Methanobacteriota; Methanomicrobia; Methanomicrobiales; Methanomicrobiaceae
Description: partial 16S ribosomal RNA
Rfam family: Archaeal small subunit ribosomal RNA
Source: RNAcentral